Molecule: ribosomal RNA, 254 nt
Filed under: uncultured bacterium
Lineage: Bacteria
Description: partial 16S ribosomal RNA
Rfam family: Bacterial small subunit ribosomal RNA
Source: RNAcentral
UACGUAGGGUCCGAGCGUUUGUCCGGAAUUACUGGGCGUAAAGAGCUCGUAGGUGGUUUGUCGCGUUGUUCGUGAAAACUCACAGCUCAACUGUGGGCGUGCGGGCGAUACGGGCAGACUAGAGUACUGCAGGGGAGACUGGAAUUCCUGGUGUAGCGGUGGAAUGCGCAGAUAUCAGGAGGAACACCGGUGGCGAAGGCGGGUCUCUGGGCAGUAACUGACGCUGAGGAGCGAAAGCAUGGGGAGCGAACAGG